AUGACCUUGACAAAGGUCACAAGGUCAAAGUCAUGUCCCAGAUAGCGAAUUAUGUGUUUUUGACCUUAUUUUAAGGAUUUUUAGUGUGUUUUAAAUGUUUUCAAGGUUGACCUGACCUUUGACCUUUCAACUUUUUAGUCGAUAUCUCAAAAACGGUUAAUCUUAGAGAAAUAGUAAACAGUGAAAAAUGUUGAGGUGACUGAGGCACA
RNAcentral lists this long non-coding RNA (209 nucleotides) under Mytilus galloprovincialis (Mediterranean mussel). The record is from RNAcentral. Lineage: Eukaryota; Metazoa; Mollusca; Bivalvia; Mytilida; Mytilidae.